RNAcentral lists this ribosomal RNA (585 nucleotides) under Bacillus altitudinis. Its description in RNAcentral is "bacterial SSU rRNA". It matches the Rfam family "Bacterial small subunit ribosomal RNA", at positions 173 to 747 of the family's 1533-position model. Lineage: Bacteria; Bacillati; Bacillota; Bacilli; Caryophanales; Bacillaceae. The record is from RNAcentral.
UUCCUUGAACCGCAUGGUUCAAGGAUGAAAGACGGUUUCGGCUGUCACUUACAGAUGGACCCGCGGCGCAUUAGCUAGUUGGUGGGGUAAUGGCUCACCAAGGCGACGAUGCGUAGCCGACCUGAGAGGGUGAUCGGCCACACUGGGACUGAGACACGGCCCAGACUCCUACGGGAGGCAGCAGUAGGGAAUCUUCCGCAAUGGACGAAAGUCUGACGGAGCAACGCCGCGUGAGUGAUGAAGGUUUUCGGAUCGUAAAGCUCUGUUGUUAGGGAAGAACAAGUGCGAGAGUAACUGCUCGCACCUUGACGGUACCUAACCAGAAAGCCACGGCUAACUACGUGCCAGCAGCCGCGGUAAUACGUAGGUGGCAAGCGUUGUCCGGAAUUAUUGGGCGUAAAGGGCUCGCAGGCGGUUUCUUAAGUCUGAUGUGAAAGCCCCCGGCUCAACCGGGGAGGGUCAUUGGAAACUGGGAAACUUGAGUGCAGAAGAGGAGAGUGGAAAUUCCACGUGUAGCGGUGAAAUGCGUAGAGAUGUGUAGGAACACCAGUGGCGAAGGCGACUCUCUGGUCUGUAACUGACGCU